ACUACCUACGGGGGGCAGCAGUGAGGAAUAUUGGUCAAUGGGCUUACGCCUGAACCAGCCAAGUCGCGUGAGGGAAGACUGCCCUAUGGGUUGUAAACCUCUUUUGUCAGGGAGCAACGCCGGCUACGUGUAGCCGGACUGAGAGUACCUGAAGAAAAAGCAUCGGCUAACUCCGUGCCAGCAGCCGCGGUAAUACGUAGGGGGCUAGCGUUAUCCGGAAUUACUGGGCGUAAAGGGUGCGUAGGUGGUUUCUUAAGUCAGAGGUGAAAGGCUACGGCUCAACCGUAGUAAGCCUUUGAAACUGG
Molecule: ribosomal RNA, 305 nt
Filed under: uncultured bacterium
Lineage: Bacteria
Description: bacterial SSU rRNA
Rfam family: Bacterial small subunit ribosomal RNA
Source: RNAcentral